This 267-nucleotide unclassified non-coding RNA is filed under the name uncultured fungus. RNAcentral's name for it is "partial contains 5.8S ribosomal RNA, internal transcribed spacer 2, and large subunit ribosomal RNA". The record is from RNAcentral. Lineage: Eukaryota; Fungi.
AACGCACAUUGCGCCCUCUGGCAUUCCGGAGGGCAUGCCUGUCCGAGCGUCAUUUCUGCCCUCCAGCGCGGCUGGGUCUUGGGCGCUGUCCCCCCGGGGACACGCCCCAAAGGCAGUGGCGACGCCGCGUCGAGUCCUCGAGCGUAUGGAGCUGGGUCACCUGCUCGGGAGGGAUUCGCCGGCCUCGGUCUUCCCCGAUGGGCCCCGAUACAGGGGCGCCUCCUUUCGGUUGACCUCGGAUCAGGUAGGGCUACCCGCUGAACUUAA